RNAcentral lists this ribosomal RNA (305 nucleotides) under uncultured bacterium. RNAcentral's name for it is "bacterial SSU rRNA". It matches the Rfam family "Bacterial small subunit ribosomal RNA", at positions 336 to 658 of the family's 1533-position model. The record is from RNAcentral.
UUCCUACGGGGGGCAGCAGUGGGGAAUAUUGCACAAUGGGGGAAACCCUGAUGCAGCGACGCCGCGUGAGCGAGGAAGUACCUCGGUAUGUAAAGCUCUGUCAGCAGGGAAGAAAAUGACAGUACCUGACCAAGAAGCCCCGGCUAACUACGUGCCAGCAGCCGCGGUAAUACGUAGGGGGCAAGCGUUAUCCGGAUUUACUGGGUGUAAAGGGAGCGCAGGCGGCGCGGUAAGUCUGAUGUGAAAGCCCGGGGCUCAACCCCGGGACUGCAUUGGAAACUGUCGUGCUGGAGUGUCGGAGGGGG